RNAcentral lists this ribosomal RNA (358 nucleotides) under Archaeoglobi archaeon. RNAcentral describes it as "bacterial SSU rRNA". It matches the Rfam family "Archaeal small subunit ribosomal RNA", at positions 1 to 348 of the family's 1478-position model. The record is from RNAcentral. Lineage: Archaea; Methanobacteriati; Methanobacteriota; Archaeoglobi.
CAAUUCUGGUUGAUCCUGCCAGAGACCGCUGCUAUCCGGCUGGGACUAAGCCAUGCGAGUCAAGGGGCUUGCCGCAAGGCAAGCACCGGCGGACGGCUCAGUAACACGUGGACAACCUGCCCUCGGGAGGGGGAUAACCCCGGGAAACUGGGGCUAAACCCCCAUAGGAGAUGGAUACUGGAAGGUUCCAUCUCCGAAAGUCCGCAAGGAGCCCGAGGAUGGGUCUGCGGCGGAUUAGGUAGUUGGUGGGGUAACGGCCCACCAAGCCGAAGAUCCGUACGGGCCAUGGGAGUGGGAGCCCGGAGAUGGACCCUGAGACAAGGGUCCAGGCCCUACGGGGCGCAGCAGGCGCGAAACC